Molecule: non-coding RNA, 555 nt
Organism: Taeniopygia guttata (zebra finch)
Lineage: Eukaryota; Metazoa; Chordata; Aves; Passeriformes; Estrildidae
Source: RefSeq, a predicted model, not a curated record
UGCCAUCAUCUUCUUCCCACAGCUCAGCUGUUAGCAGAGAAUUUUUGCAGUUGGGGAACACAUCUGUUCUUCUCUCUCCUUUUAACAUUGAAGAUGCUGCUCUCACCAACUCUCACUGUUCUGGGGGAGUUUGGUGAGUAAAGUCAGAGGCAUCAGACAGCACAGGAGUUGUACCUUGUGCAUGACCUCUGCCAGUCAGCUGGUCGGUUGGCCGGAGUUUCUCAUCAAGGAGUACAUGCUGUUUGCUCCCCAGAUGGACAGGCUGUAUGAGUAACAAAUCCACAGAGCCUGGGACACAAGAGAAUUGCCUGAGACCUGAAGCCAGGACAUGGAAAGUUUCUCUUUCCUAUGUCCUUCACCUAUACUGCAAUUUAAAGAGCAGAAAAAAUCAGCUAGCCUGAGCCAAAUAGCCCCGUCCCUUUCAGCUCACCACAGCAAAAUAGGACAGCACAGAAUAAAGGGGGAAUUCCCACUAGAAAGAUCCAAUAAUGCUUUGGGGGGAAAAGGGAUUUCAAAUGUUCUUUUAAUAGUAAGUUUUGGUGAAUGCUUUGUUCU